UGUGUCAGUGAACAAAAAAAGACAAUGCAGCAGCCUUUUCUACCUGUCGUUUCCUGAAAGUCGAAUCCAUCCUUGUGGACAAACCAAACAGGUAACAUCAGGUUGAUUAAAUGGCGUCGAUGGAGGCUGACGUUCAGGGGAAAGAUGCAGGCCGCUCAGACUCGGAUCUUUGCUUCAGCAAGAAAAACUGUGUGCGUCUGUGCGUGGCCACAGUCGGCCUUUUUACAUUUAUUGGACUCUGUCUAACUUACCUGCCCGAUGAACACAAGCCAAUUCCGUUGUUUCGUGCCCCUAAACGAGCAGUGACGCUUUUAAUAUGGGCGAAUCCUUUCGGAACCCGUGAUAUUCCGAACUGUUCAGCGCUGUAUAAGAUCGAUGGGUGCCGGAUCACCGAUGACAGGAGCGAGUACGCGCGAGCUGAUGCUGUGGUUUUUCACCACCGGGAGAUUGGCGCCGGCAGCGUCCAACUGCCAUCGGAACCACGGCCGAGUGCGCAAAAGUGGAUCUGGAUGAACUAUGAGUCGCCCUCGCACUCACCCAGACUAGGCAGCUUUGAGGGGGUUUUUAACCUCACGAUGAGCUACCGGAAGGAUUCAAGCAUUUUCAUCCCUUACGGCAGCGUCGUCCCCGUCGGGCGCGAGGUAACAGGUGUGGCGCAGCCGCUCAGCACUCCGUCGGACUCAGAACUCUCCAGGCCCCACUUCGUGGCCUGGGUCGUCAGCAACUGGUCGCAGAACCAGGCACGAGUGAUCCUGUACAACAAGCUGCGCCAGUACAUCGACGUGGACGUGUUCGGGCACGGACAUCGCCCGUUACCUCCGGAGAGCGGCAACAACGUGGUGCAGCUGGUCCGACAGUACCUUUUCUACCUGGCCAUGGAGAACUCGCAGCACACGGAUUACAUGACGGAGAAGUUGUGGAACUCGAUAGAGGCCGGUGCCGUCCCGGUGGUCCUGGGUCCGUCCAGGAAGAACUAUGAGCGCUUUCUGCCCCCCGAAGCUUUUAUCCACGUAGAUGACUUCCCCACGGUGGAAGAACUGGCUCGGUACCUGCAGACGCUGAGGGUCAAUCCGGGUCGGCUGAAGAAGCACCUGGACUGGAGAAAGGGCUACAGCAUGCACCAAAUCGUAUUCUGGAGAGAGCAGUACUGCACAGCCUGUAAGGCGGUGAGGAGCAGCUUGGAUGUUUCUACCUCCGAUGAGGCUGUAGAGAAGGUUUCCUGAGAUCAAGGCAUCAGCAGCUAGAACCCUUGUCUCUUGGACUGCAACUGCUGAGGUUGGAUGAGCAGAGUCAUUCAGAAGAGCAUUAGAAUCUAUCUGACAAGUCAGUUCGAUAGAUGCAGAAGAGUGGUGGUGAAUCUCAUGAUAGCCACAAUCAUGUCCAUGACAGCAGACAACUCAGGAUCAGUGCGGGUCUCUUUCUUGACUUGAGACGCAGACACAAGCACUACUGACACUUCCCUGAAGUAGAAGAUAUACACUACAUUGGACCGCUCCUCCUCUGAGGAAUCACCAUUUUAAACACUAACAAACAGCAGCAAACAGCCAUCCUGAUUGGACUGAAUGGGUGUGACUGAAAACGCAGUUCUAAAAGCUGCCAUCACCAAAGACUCGUCCCUUGUUCUCUUCACUCCCUAUGUCCUCUCCACUCCACUCCCUCGACGGUCACUUGUUCUCCUCUCUCCAUCACCUUCGUCCACGUGGAGCGUCCCCUCUGCCCCCGGCACACCUCAGAGCCUCCACCGCAGCCAGCAGCCACCCGGCAAGAAACCGCCAGCUUAAUCGUCUCACCCGCUGCCGACUCAGCUGAUCACGACACGAUCACCGCGACGCACGGACCGGACCGCAACAGCGCAAGCACGCACGCAACGCCGGAUCUUCUCACCAGAACUGAACAGCAAAUCACAUGUCUGCAUGCUUCCCCUGGGAUGUUGCUGGUAACCUUGAUAACAACGAAUCGUGUUAAGUGAUGACCCAUGAAGAGGACAAAGAGCAAAGUCUGAAACAACAACAAUUCAUAAUUAAAAGGGGGUGUAAAAGAAGAGUAAGACGAGGAGCAGGAGGAGGAGGAGGAGGAGCUGUCUAGGUUGUGAAGUAAUGGUAUGUGAUACGUAAUGAAUGGUGACACUGAAAUGAAGCCAUUUGUUGUGGCGACUUUAAUCUCACACCUAUUAUCAGAAUCAUAGUCCUGCUGAAUACAUUUGUUUUACAAAGGACGCGUUAAAAAAAGACAACAUGUCAAACAUUUUUAAGUGGCAGGCCUGUGUCAGGAGAUGAUGAUGAUGACGGCAGCAUGGGUAGGGUAGCUUUGUUAACGUUGGUAGAAAGCCAGGUCAGCCCUGGGUGGUCUCUAUGUCAAGCCAAUUAGCUAUCAGAGCUACAGAUAUUUUUAGUAUAUGGUAUUUAGUAUAUUUCAGUUUUUCUUGAUUGCUUUGAAUCGUUUUAAGAAACUAUUAUCCACUCCACCUUCAUCAUCACUAUUCUAGCAGAACCCACAUUUUGCAAAUGUGUAAACCCGUUCUCAUUGGAUUGACACGUUUUCCACCGUUUUGCAGAAGAUCUCAGAUUCAGUCUAAACUCCAUUGUUUUAGCUUUGAUGACUAAACAGAAAGCAUUUAUCCCUAACUAUUAGAAACCAGCAAGACUGGUAUGAGCUCAAUGAAGUGUCUGUUUGACACUCCUUUACACAGAUCUUCAGUUGGCAUCAGUCUGCAGGUAAAAUGGUGCCAGGUCUGUGUUGCUUUCCGUAGCUUGCUUUCUGCAAAGACUCAGUAUCAGCAGUGGCUGUGUCUAAUAGUUUUGACUGUAUGUUGGUUCACAUGUAUUUUCUAAUGUAAUUAGAAAUAUUUAUAGCUUUUUAUAGCUAUUUCAGAUUUCAGCCAAUGUUUGGUAAAAAAUAUAAACUGCAUCAAAGCAUUUCUUCAUCUGGAUCCAAUUCUUUUUUAUUAAGACACAUUUGACUGAGACAACAGACUACAAUGACAAUCAUAUGAUACAAUGGUUCACAGAGUUUAUUGUUUUGUAUUUUGUACUCCAUUAUGUAAUGUAAUGUAAUAAAGUGCUCAUUUACUUGAUAACA
Betta splendens (Siamese fighting fish) is the source of this 3078-nucleotide RNA transcript. It is a transcript of the gene named alpha-(1,3)-fucosyltransferase 4-like, with no coding region annotated. The transcript is spliced from 5 exons. NCBI's taxonomy places the organism in Eukaryota, Metazoa, Chordata, Actinopteri, Anabantiformes, Osphronemidae. The record is from RefSeq and is a predicted model, not a curated record.